GGCUCAACCUCGGAACCGCAUUUGAAACUGGCAGACUAGAGUGCCGAAGAGGGGGGUAGAAUUUCAGGAGUAGCGGAGAAAUGCGUAGAGAUCUGAAGGAAUACCAGUGGCGAAGGCGGCCCCCUGGACAGACACAGACACUCAGAUGCGAAAGCGUGGGGAGCAAGCAGGAUUAGAUACCCUGGUAGUCCACGCCGUAAACGAUGUCUACUUGGAGGAAGUGGCCUUGAGCCGUGGCUUUCGGAGCUAACGCGUUAAGUAGACCGCCUGGGGAGUACGGUCGCAAGAUUAAAACUCAAAUGAAUUGACGGGGGCCCGCACAAGCGGUGGAGCAUGUGGUUUAAUUCGAUGCAACGCGAAGAACCUUACCUACUCUUGACAUCCAGAGAAUUCGCUAGAGAUAGCUUAGUGCCUUCGGGAGCUCUGAGACAGGUGCUGCAUGGCUGUCGUCAGCUCGUGUUGUGAAAAGUUGGGUUAAGUCCCGCAACGAGCGCAACCCUUAUCCUUGUUUGCCAGCACGUAAUGGUGGGAACUCCAGGGAGACUGCCGGUGAUAAACCGGAGGAAGGUGGGGACGACGUCAAGUCAUCAUGGCCCAUACGAGUAGGGCUACACACGUGCUACAAUGGCGCAUACAGAGGGCUGCAAGCUAGCGAUAGUGAGCG
This 664-nucleotide ribosomal RNA is filed under the name uncultured bacterium. Its description in RNAcentral is "bacterial SSU rRNA". It matches the Rfam family "Bacterial small subunit ribosomal RNA", at positions 606 to 1269 of the family's 1533-position model. The record is from RNAcentral.